ACUGAGGAAGCCUGGUCUAUAGUGACUGGCAGUGACUCUCCCAGGUUUCAGACAUUGAGCCUCCCUUGCCCCCCACCAGCCAAAGCUGGAAUCACUGGGAAUUGAACUGGGAAACUUUCACAUGUGCUAAUGCUUGCUGACCCACAGCCCUUUGAUUGUGCUCUGAGAUAUUGUGUUACUGUUCAAAACACAUUUGUAUCUGUCAUAUCAUUGCAUGAGUUUCACACCCUGCUGGAGAAAACCUCCCUUUUCCAAUUUCCACAUUGCCUUCUAUGCACAAAACUGCUGGUCAUCUCAACCCCCUCCUCCUUCUCCACCUGAAGCAACUUGGGGAUCACCAUGGAAACGGUUACCAAUUAACUGCAACUGAGUAUGUAAGGGCUGUCUUUGGAAAUGAGGAAUGGGAGAACCAGAGCUGGUGGCGGCAGUGCCCUUUUGACAGGAAACAGCCAGAUGCCGUAAGGAUUGGCACCCAUCCCUCCAAGCACCUUAGGUGAAUCUGUCACCCCUACUUUCAUGCACCCAUCCCCAUGUUCUUCUGCAAUGGAUGAGGCCAGAAGAUCCCUCUGCUCAAAGGUGGGGCCAACAGCUCACAGGACUGUUAAACUUGUUCACCCUGUUGCUCCAGGGAGGAGUGUAUGUAUGUUAUGCCCACAGGUGAGCAUGUUUCCGUGUUUCAGCCCAGAUUGUCUAAUGAGCAAGUAGGAAGCAGGAAGAGAUCACUGAGAGGAUGGAACAAAACACAGAGGCAAAUGUCCCUCCAUUCAUUGUCUUUAAGGGGCUUCGUCUGAUGCUUAUGUUGUCUUAACAUGAUGGGGAGGGGCUGUUGUUUUCUGAGGAACAGAGGAUCUGAUCAAAUCCACUCCAUACAUGGAAAUCACAUUUUAAACACGUGGCUCCCACCAAAGAAUCUUGGAAAUGUCGUUUGUUAAGGGUGCUGAAAAUUAAAUUGUUGUUGUUGUU
Podarcis raffonei (Aeolian wall lizard) is the source of this 963-nucleotide long non-coding RNA. RefSeq lists it as uncharacterized. NCBI's taxonomy places the organism in Eukaryota, Metazoa, Chordata, Lepidosauria, Squamata, Lacertidae. The record is from RefSeq and is a predicted model, not a curated record. The transcript is spliced from 3 exons.